UCAGUUUCCCAACCGAGCUUAGACAGGAUUAGUUAGCCAGCAUCAGCAGCAGUGGUGAGUCCUCAUACUUCGAGGACAGGUUUAUCUUAUAUUUUGUUAUGUUAGUAUUUCAGUUAUUUAGUCAGUCGGAUUUAGUUAAGGGCUUCUCCCAUCAACUCCACAUUCAGUCAGUUUUAAAGGCUUUCAGACACUCAAACAGAUAGACAGUUGUUCAGUUGUUUUGCCG
Molecule: long non-coding RNA, 226 nt
Filed under: Capsicum annuum
Lineage: Eukaryota; Viridiplantae; Streptophyta; Magnoliopsida; Solanales; Solanaceae
Description: long non-coding RNA (CANN_LNC020146)
Source: RNAcentral